GCAACUCGCCUGCAUGAAGUCGGAAUUGCUAGUAAUCGCAGAUCAGAAUGCUGCGGUGAAUACGUUCCCGGGCCUUGUACACACCGCCCGUCACACCAUGGGAGUCGGUAACACCCGAAGCCUGUAGUCUAACCUUUAAGGGGGACGCAGUCGAAGGUGGGAUUGAUGACUGGGGUGAAGUCGUAACAAGGUAGC
RNAcentral lists this ribosomal RNA (195 nucleotides) under uncultured bacterium. RNAcentral's name for it is "partial 16S ribosomal RNA". It matches the Rfam family "Bacterial small subunit ribosomal RNA", at positions 1307 to 1500 of the family's 1533-position model. The record is from RNAcentral.